GGGGGGAGGCCGGGUCCUGGGCUGUGUCCCGGCGCCCUGUGCUCCGGGGCCUGCGCUGGUGGAUUCGCACUCCCGCCCCGCAGCCCCCU
This 89-nucleotide microRNA precursor is filed under the name Canis lupus familiaris (dog). RNAcentral's name for it is "mir-8799 microRNA precursor family". It matches the Rfam family "mir-8799 microRNA precursor family". The record is from Rfam by way of RNAcentral. Lineage: Eukaryota; Metazoa; Chordata; Mammalia; Carnivora; Canidae.